AUUGAACGCUGGCGGCAGGCCUAACACAUGCAAGUCGAGCGAGAAAGCCCUUCGGGGUGAGUAGAGCGGCGGACGGGUGAGUAACGCGUACGAAUCUGCCUAGUAGUGGGGGAUAACACGGGGAAACUCGUGCUAAUACCGCAUACGUCCUACGGGAGAAAAAGGGGGACCAUUUGGCCUCUUGCUAUUAGAUGAGCGUGCGUCGGAUUAGCUAGUUGGUAGGGUAAAGGCCUACCAAGGCGACGAUCCGUAGCUGGUCUGAGAGGAUGAUCAGCCACACCGGAACUGAGACACGGUCCGGACUCCUACGGGAGGCAGCAGUGGGGAAUAUUGGACAAUGGGGGCAACCCUGAUCCAGCCAUGCCGCGUGUGUGAAGAAGGCUUUAGGGUUGUAAAGCACUUUCAAUAGGGAGGAAAUGUUGAUGCUUAAUACGUAUCAGCCUUGACGUUACCUAUAGAAGAAGCACCGGCAAACUCCGUGCCAGCAGCCGCGGUAAUACGGAGGGUGCGAGCGUUAAUCGGAAUUACUGGGCGUAAAGCGAACGUAGGCGGUUAGAUAAGCUGGAUGUGAAAGCCCCGGGCUUAACCUGGGAACUGCAUUCAGAACUGUCUGGCUAGAG
This 620-nucleotide ribosomal RNA is filed under the name uncultured bacterium. RNAcentral's name for it is "bacterial SSU rRNA". It matches the Rfam family "Bacterial small subunit ribosomal RNA", at positions 28 to 646 of the family's 1533-position model. The record is from RNAcentral.